AGGAGUUUAGGAUAAUAAAAGACCAAGGGCCUUCAAAGCCCUAAGCAAGUAUAAAAUACUUAACCCCUG
Molecule: transfer RNA, 69 nt
Filed under: Nothrotheriops shastensis (Shasta ground sloth)
Lineage: Eukaryota; Metazoa; Chordata; Mammalia; Pilosa; Megatheriidae
Description: tRNA-Trp
Source: RNAcentral